This 6472-nucleotide long non-coding RNA is filed under the name Sus scrofa (pig). RNAcentral describes it as "lncRNA (ENSSSCG00000054628.1)". The record is from RNAcentral. Lineage: Eukaryota; Metazoa; Chordata; Mammalia; Artiodactyla; Suidae.
CUGGGCAGAAAGAGUCAAGAGUUGAUUGCCUUUAUCCAAUCAAGAACUAACCUGCUUUGAAGCUGGCUAUAGUUUUGCAAAGCUCCAUCAAUCUCUAAAUGUCUACUCCCCCUGGGGCCCCCUAGAGUUUAGUCUUGUGUAGCUUCCAGUUGAACAUCUAGUACGAUCACCAGAUUCAUUUUCUCAACAGUUCGACAUUAGCCUUGCUUUUUCAACUCUACUUCCCAAAAGUUUUAACGUUGCUUGCUUUUCUUUUUCUCUUUGUCUCUUUUUCUCUUUCUUUCAGAAUGUAGCAAAGAAAUUCUUCACUUAAAGCUUUGUUUUCAGCAUCAUAGUUUAUGGGUCUUUUCAAUUUAUUGAGACAGUCAUGAAGUAAGGUCAUAUCACACACAUUUUCUGCUGAGCCACAACGGGAACUCCAGUGAGAUGAUAUAUUUUAUCAUCUCCAUUCACUUUCAGAAUUUAGCAAAUGCAUUGGGGAGUAAACAGGUAAACAGACAAUUUGCUGACAUUCCUCAAGCUAAGACACCAUUUUUUUUUUUAGUCCACAAGAAGUUCUAUAUGUUUCUCCUUCCCUUACUAGCAGCCACUGCCUUGGCAGAGCCCCCAUUCUCUGCUUCCUACCAAUGACCCAGAAGUAGCAAAAUCUCCUGAGGGAAAGAGGAAAGAUCAAUCAUGAACUCAGAUUUCCGUGGUUUCCCCAUCUCUGAAAUUUUAACCAUUCUAGUUCUCAUUACUUCAAAAACUUUCUGACGCAUUUAAGCAGAAUUAUUUAAAUAGUUAUCCGUAUUUUCUAGCUGUUCUCAACAGGAGCACAAUUCUACCACAAGUAGCUCCAUCCUAUCUAGAACUCUCAUUAUAUUUUUGUUCAUUUAAAAAAAUGUAAAAAAUUCCAUCAGUUUCUUCAAGAGUUGUCAUGGAAGACAGACAGACAAAGUCUUAUAUUAAGUAGCUGAGAAGAGCUUUGUGCAGUGCGAAGGAAUUUACAAAGCUACUUCUAAUACUGUAAAAUCAUUAUGUUGCAGCUGAAGUAUAAUGCUGCACUGAGUAUGCAUGUCACAGGCUUUUAAAGUCUAUAUAAAAGACAGAGAGGAACAAGAAACUAUACCUGUUAUUUCCAGCGGGGGGAAAAAAAAAAUCUUAAUGCAAUGACCUGAAAGACUUUUACACCAAUUCUAAAAUAUAACGAGAAAAUGAUACAGGGAUGUUCUACGUUGCUCAUGUAUUUAGGGCAUGGAGUUGCCAUUUUUCAUCUUUUAAAAAUCUAUGUAUUUAGAAGAAAGUGCAAUAUUUUUACCAAAUGUGUAAAAUCACUCUGAUAUGUGUGUAAUUAUAUUUAUAAAAUUCUUCAAAAAAUACCAAUUUUAGGUGCCUGCUCUUACCUCUUAUUACUUAACCUUGCAAUAAUGGAUUUGGUCAGUCUAUCUGGCAGUAGCUAAAGGAAAAGCCGAAAAUUACUGCAAACCUCUGAAAGCAUUAAGUUUUCCAGAUCUAUUCAUUAAAGUAGACAAUAAGGAGAGAGAAUACAAAGUUACCUGUUCCUUUAUGGGAUAUAUUCUUAACAAAGAGAUGUCAUUUUGGAUGACUUUCCAACUGUUUAAGAGAUGUAGUCUUCUGUACAUAAUUAAAGAGUUCCCAUCGUGCUAAUAAUUGAAGAACUAAAAUGAUAACUUCUAAAUGAGAAAAAUUUACCUUAAUCCCCAAACCACAAGAUUAAAGAUUUGUUUUCAGCAUCAUAGUUUGUGGGUCUUUUCAAUUUAUUGAGACAGUCAUGAAGUAAGGUCAUAUCACACACAUUUUCGGAAAAAUAAUCAAGGUUCCUUGAAUCUUAAUCCUCCCUGAAUUUAUGCAAAGUCCAAAAACACAUGGCCACCUGUACCCUAAAUAAUAAAAGCAGAAAACACCAAGAAUUAAUAGAAGAAACUGGGAUAGAGAAUAAACUAAUAAUUAAGGGUCUUUGGUUUAAACAAGCACUAAUUUUGUGACCUAUGGCAAAUCAUUUAAGUUCUGUUAAUGAUGAGGUUGUUGUAAGAAACAAAUCAGAAGGUGUUUUUUAAAGAAUUACACUUUGAAAAAUGAGGCAGUUCUAUGCAAAUGCAAGAAUCAGUUUGUAUAACUCUAAGAGGCAUUUUUAUCUCAUUUCAGAAACAAACUAUCUUUGGGCACUUGAAAACCUCGCCAGCCUUCAUUUGCAUAAAAUUAUUAUUCUAAUUACAAAUUAUUUUCAUGUAUUCAUUAAAGCAGGUUCAUCAGGGCAUCUAUUAGGCAAUUCUUUAUUAGCUUAAUUCGAAUUACGUAUAUGAAAGUAAUAAAGCUGCAUUUCUCUUUCAAUAAUAAUUUCAGAAAGUCUCCAUUAAUCCAACUAACAGAAGUAUUACUCUAAAUUUUAUGUUCUCUGAAUGUGAGAGAGGAAAGCCUAAAAAUUGCAAAAACUAGUUCAAUGCAAACACCAACAAAGAGUUACUAAUACCUUCUUUGUUGCAAUCUAAAUACUGCAGAUAUGUUUUAUGUUCUAUUCCAGCACUUCCAUUUUACCGCCGGAGAAACAAGGCCUAUGUUCAAAAAGCAAAGUAAGAUAAAAAGACACUAAUACAUAACACUAAUUAACACGAAGAUAUCAGAACUUAAAACUCCCUGGUCUCCAGUUCAACUUACAUCUUGAUAAUCACUAGUUGCCCACCUGAAUUACCAACACCAGCAGGAUCAGGUAAAAGAGACGUUUCUCUCUGUCCCUUUGUAUUUAAAUAUGGCAAAUAAAGAAGUGUCUCUUCCUUUAUAGCCUGACAACUCUUAUUUCUUUUUCUCCUUCCACCCUCCCCUUCGGCCAACCAGAGUGGCAUUUCUUGAGUACUCCAGGUACUUCUAUUCCUCCUUGUCUUUGCUGUCCUCUUGGCCUGGAUUGUCCUCUGUUCAUUAAAAUCCCUCCCCCUUCAUUUUCACUGGGAAGGCUGUGAAUAAUGCCUUCCCAUUAUUCCAAAAGAUGCUCUACCUUAUAAUGGAUGAACUAUUCAUUGACCCAGCUCUUCAGCUAAUGUAUGAGUACCCUGAAAGCAAAGACAAUGCCUAUCUCCAGCAUCAUGGUGCUUGGCAUUAUGCUUAGAAGGCAAGGAGGUGAAUGAACAGAUGAAUAAAUGGAUGAAUGGAUGCUAACAGAAGAACUAGUGAUUGACUUAGUAUUUUAAAGCCAUGCAGGCUGGUAUCUAUAAGUAAGCAUACAUUUGGCAGGAGGGCAAAUUUAAAUGAUAAGAAAUCUAUUUAAUUUACAAAUCUAUCUUGAUGUAGAAAUAAUAUUAUCCAUCCUGAUCUGGUAUGAAAAACUUGAAUAUUAUCAUAUAAAACUUGAUUCAAUUUGCCACACCUUGGCUAUGAAACAUUAAAAAGACUUGUUUCCUCAAUAUUCUGUCAUUUUUCAUAUCUCGCCAAAUAUUUUUUUUUUUACUUUUAAAAGUUUUUAGGAGUCAUACCCAGGGGGGAGAAAAGGGCCAGGAAUAAAACGAGAGUGUAAUAGUUAAGAUAUUCAAGAGCCAUUUUAUUUUCGAAGUAACAUAAAAUUGUUAAAAAUCCUUCUUUUCGGAGUUUCCAUUGUGACUCAGUGGUAAUGAACCUAACUAGUAUCCAUAAGGAUGCGGAUUCAGUCCCUGGCCUCGCUCAGUGGGUUAAGGAUCCAGCAUUGCCGUGAGCUGUGGUGUAGGUCACAGAAGCAGCUGGGAUCCCACAUUCCAUGGUUGUGGCAUAGGCUGACAGCUGCAGCUCUGAUUCCAUCCCUAGCCUGGGAACUUCCAUACACUGCACAUGUGACCCUCAAAAAAUAAAGUGAAAUAAUUUUUUAAAAUAAAAUAAAAAUAGUUUACCUGCUACCUGAAAGUAGACUGUUCCUAUGAAACCUUUCAUAAGCAGCAGUGGUAUAAAGAAAAUAAGCAAUUACCUUUGGACACAUCCUGCUAGGAUGCACAAAAGACAUCGAGCCAAAGAACAGAUGCUCACAGACAGUUCAAAGUGACGGUGGCCUGAUGCUGAGAUGCCGAGUGUCGGUCCUUUGGAGGGGGCUCAGUUCUCGAGGUGCCUGAUGCCUCUGUAAGGCUCACUGCAACCACCUCUGCCCCCUAUUUCCACUUUUUUGCCUUUUUUUUGUAAAAGUGAAAAAUUCCCUUUGGGUUUCAGUUGAGAAAACAGGUACUAGUGCAGGUCUUGCGUAAAAGCAAAGUGGCAUCAAAUGAACUUUUGAAAAGAGGGAAUACCAUUGCCCUUUAUUUUUCAGAGAAAGUGUUUACAUCUCUCUUUCUUCAUAGGUGUAGACAAAAGGUUGGAAGGACAUACAAUAGAAUAUUAAAAGCAAAGUUAUCUUUGAUUGGUGUGAAUAUAGGUAAAUUUUAAAAUAUCUACCUCAAAAUAUGUUUGAGUUUUCUGAGUGUUAUCAAUGAAUAUUUUGUAACUAUAUUCAGAAAAAACACCUAUACAUUAUUGCAAUUUUAACAGGAAAAAAAAAAUUAAAUGUUGUAGGCGAAAGGACAGAAUUGAGCAUGGUUUUUCCUGAAGGGGAAUCCAGGGUGUCCCUAACUUACUUUGUGAACCUAGGUAGGCCACUUAAUGCUUCCAACCUCGGCUUCUUUAUUUUUAAAAGGAGGAGCUGGAAUAGAGGAGUGUUAAAAUGCCAUGUAGCUAUAAAAACCCUGGAACUCUAAGCAAAAAGCAAAUCGCUUUCAAGAGCUUUGGAAAUCGGUUCUGUUCUUUACAACCGACAGGAGAUAAACAGGAACCAAGUAAAUAAGGAAACCGAAGUUCAACUGCAAGAACCAUGGAACGCCCCCCCCCAAAGACCAAAUACUCUCACAUUACAAUAUUUUCACCCAAAUUCCUUACAUUCACAGAGUGGCCCUAGGUCCCCUGAGCCCAUUCCCAUGAAGGGUAAUUAACUAUAUGUUACAUGGGGGUUUUCUCAAGAUGCUAAAGAGUCAUUUGGGCAGGGAACAUAAAAGUUACACUAAACAAUAAUAUGCGAUUUAUAGUCUGGAUGUGGCACAUACUGUAUUGGCUUACUUUUAUUUCACAGUUAAUCUCCCAGCUCACAAAAGUUUUAUCGGAUUGGAGGCAUGUGCAGUAUUCCCUUUAUAAAAUUUUAUAGUCCCUUGCUAUUUUCAGGGGUUUGUUUUAUAGGCACAAUUUGCUGCUUUAAUCUCACCCAAUUGUCAUGUUCUAAAUCAUAGUGAAUAAAAAUGUCCUAAAAGGAGAGCUUGUGCUGAGGGUAGUACUUAAUUACACUUAGUGCCUGAUUUAAAUGUUAUCUGGGCAUUGCCAAGUGCUGGGCAUGGAGCAACUUGGCAGUGCCAAUCUGCAUAAGCCGAUACAAGUCAUUACUGGUGUUUGAAUAGCGGAGCCCACUCACACUGGGAUCACGUUCCGGUGGCAUUCUGAUGAAGGUGGGUCUUCCCAUCUUCCAUAAUUAUAUGUGAAAAUUAAGGCAGCUAAUGAACUCAUUCCAAUAGCUCAUGUUCCCAAAGUGGCAAAGCAUGGGUUUCCUCUGCAAGCCCAUCAUGGAACAAGGCCACUUCUGAUACAUCUCUGAGAGCAGCUCCACUCAUUGCCAUUCAGCCAAACGCCACUGAUGAUGAAGUGUGUGAAAGGAGAGUCUUACCUGGGAGUCAGUUAUGCUUCCCCAAAACCCAGGGAUGUUCAAAACACGCAUAGCCUAUUCAUUACCCUCUUUCCUUACAUGUGUGAAGGAGAAAGAUGAUCAGAAGUUUUUACCUACCCCCUUGAUCUGGCCCCUGAUGAUAUGACCCUACUUUCCAUUAAUGAAAUACUCCACCGUCAUUCGCACAACUGGUGUCCCCAACCUCCUUUGCCUGACCAAAAACCCCAACUAAUCUCUGAACAACAGUAAUUGUUUCAGGCAUGGGCUUGUGACCCACGGCAAACUGACCCCAAACCUCCCCAAGACUUUCCUGAAGGAGGGAUGACCUCUGGCUGCUUGGGUGACAAAGCUGGGAGCAGGUGAGUCCAGGGCUGUUUCUGCCUGGGAGCAAUGCCAAACAGGGAGACAGAUCUUAGAAAAAGUUUGAGUGUCUGGGUCUAGCCAUGCUUAAUACAACAUCAUCCAAGUUUCAUGAACCAGGGCAAUAAAUCUUCAUUUUGUCUUUAGUGGGAUUUCACUUUCUGUCAUUUGCAACAGAAGUUCAGACUGAAAAGAGACAUUAUUGUAAAUGGAACAAUGCAUUUUGUUCAGAAAAUCGACACUAUUUGCACUCCCUUUUCUUUACUGAGCACUUCCCAAGUAGCGCAGUUUUGGAAAAAGAGAGAAAAUAUGAUCACAUAUUCCAAACAGAUGUUGUCAUCCAUGACAAAUAUUGCUUUCACAUACCCCAAGGUAACAUUAGCUAACUCCCCAAGGACCAGUCCAAGCAACAAAUGGGAAAACAUAUGGUAAGCGCUAAGUAAAUGGAAACGAGCAGAAGUCAUAGUAAUAUCUGGAACA